CCUACGGGUGACAGCAGUGAGGAAUAUUGGUCAAUGGACGCGAGUCUGAACCAGCCAAGUAGCGUGAAGGAUGACUGCCCUAUGGGUUGUAAACUUCUUUUAUAUGGGAAUAAAAUGUUCCACGUGUGGGUUUUUGUAUGUACCAUAUGAAUAAGGAUCGGCUAACUCCGUGCCAGCAGCCGCGGUAAUACGGAGGAUCCGAGCGUUAUCCGGAUUUAUUGGGUUUAAAGGGAGCGUAGAUGGAUUGUUAAGUCAGUUGUGAAAGUUUGCGGCUCAACCGUAAAAUUGCAGUUGAAACUGGCAGUCUUGAGUACAGUAGAGGUGGGCGGAAUUCGUGGUGUAGCGGUGAAAUGCUUAGAUAUCACGAAGAACUCCGAUUGCGUAGGCAGCUCACUGGACUGCAACUGACACUGAGGCUCGAAAGUGUGGGUAUCAAACAGGAUUAGAUACCCUAGUAGUC
Molecule: ribosomal RNA, 460 nt
Filed under: uncultured bacterium
Lineage: Bacteria
Description: partial 16S ribosomal RNA
Rfam family: Bacterial small subunit ribosomal RNA
Source: RNAcentral